GUGGGGAAUCUUCCGCAAUGGACGAAAGUCUGACGGAGCAACGCCGCGUGAGUGAUGAAGGUCUUCGGAUUGUAAAGCUCUGUUAAUCGGGACGAAAGAGCCUAGUGUGAAUAAUGCUAGGAAGUGACGGUACCGGAAUAGAAAGCCACGGCUAACUACGUGCCAGCAGCCGCGGUAAUACGUAGGUGGCAAGCGUUGUCCGGAAUUAUUGGGCGUAAAGCGCGCGCAGGCGGAUCUGUCAGUCUGUCUUAAAAGUUCGGGGCUUAACCCCGUGAUGGGAUGGAAACUACAGAUCUAGAGUAUCGGAGAGGAAAGUGGAAUUCCUAGUGUAGCGGUGAAAUGCGUAGAUAUUAGGAAGAACACCAGUGGCGAAGGCGACUUUCUGGACGAAAACUGACGCUGAGGCGCGAAAGCCAGGGGAGCGAACGGGAUUAGAUACCCUUGUAGUCC
RNAcentral lists this ribosomal RNA (450 nucleotides) under uncultured bacterium. RNAcentral's name for it is "partial 16S ribosomal RNA". It matches the Rfam family "Bacterial small subunit ribosomal RNA", at positions 354 to 796 of the family's 1533-position model. The record is from RNAcentral.